This 230-nucleotide ribosomal RNA is filed under the name uncultured bacterium. Its description in RNAcentral is "partial 16S ribosomal RNA". It matches the Rfam family "Bacterial small subunit ribosomal RNA", at positions 564 to 791 of the family's 1533-position model. The record is from RNAcentral.
AGGGAGGCGUAGGCGGCUGAUUAAGUCAGCGGUGAAAGGUAGCAGCUUAACUGUUUUACAUGCCGUUGAUACUGGUUAGCUUGAGUUGACAGAAGGCAGAUAGAAUUCCUGGUGUAGCGGUGAAAUGCUUAGAUACCAGGAGGAAUACCGAUUGCGAAGGCAGUCUGCUGCAGUCACACUGACGCUGAGGCUCGAAGGUGCGGGGAUCAAACAGGAUUAGAUACCCGUGU